UCCUGGUUCCAUGACGCUUGUCCCCAUCACUGCCUGCCAUUGGCUGCUCCCCCCGACACCGGUUGUUUUCAUCCGCGCACGAGGAGAAGCAGCUGCGGCGGAGCGGGGAGACAGCUAAGUAGAUUCAGUGUGAGGGGCCUGGGCAUAUGGGGGCAUUUCUUAGUCUCAGAUAACCCCUUUAAGGUUGCAGCUGCCAGAGCUCUGUGUGCUCAGUAUGUGGCUUCUAUU
Molecule: long non-coding RNA, 228 nt
Organism: Bufo bufo (common toad)
Lineage: Eukaryota; Metazoa; Chordata; Amphibia; Anura; Bufonidae
Exons: 3
Source: RefSeq, a predicted model, not a curated record